Molecule: long non-coding RNA, 1240 nt
Filed under: Sparus aurata (gilthead seabream)
Lineage: Eukaryota; Metazoa; Chordata; Actinopteri; Spariformes; Sparidae
Description: lncRNA (ENSSAUG00010026526.1)
Source: RNAcentral
CAAGCCGACACCCCUCUGCCUGUGCGCAAAGUGGAACGCUCCAGCUCGCUCUGGGCUCUGUUGUUGUGCAGAGCUGCAGAAGGCCUGAUAGAGCCAGCAGACAGAGAGAGGAGGAAGGGAGGGAUACAUAGACGGAGGCAGACACACACUGUGGAUCGAGAGCCUGUGUAUUCAACUCAUCGGCCAGUUCAACUAGCGACACCAGAGAGGAAGGAGACAAAGGGAAGAGGAAGACACAAGCGGAGUCUCAGUGAGAGCAGGGAAAGUGAAAGAGAGAGAGGCAAGGUGAAAGAGGAGAGGGAAGGAAGGAAGGAAAGGGAGGGAGGAAGGAGGCUGGGGCAUGAGGAGGGGCGCCUGACUGACAUUGCUGCUCUCUGCUAUCUGCUCACACACACACACACACACGUUGACGUCGGCAGACGCACACAUUCAGCCAGAUUGUGCACUGCACAGUUGCUGCUCUUUUUUUUUCCUAUCCUUUCGCCGGAGUCUCGACCUCCAUCCUUUUCUUCUCCUCUGAGCGAGAGGACAAGAGAGACAGAGAGAGGAGGAAGAGGAGGAGGGAAAAGGACAAGGAGGAGGAGGAGGAGGAGGGGAGGCAAUAACCCUCUCCUCUCCAGACACACAGCAGAGAGAGAUAAGGAGAGACGAGUCAAAAAGAGAGAGAGAGACAGCAGCUUUCUGUUCUAUUUCGCCGUCUCCUGUGGUCCCUCGGCCAGCGAGCGGCUAACAGGCACCGCUCAUGUCCGUGAACUCGGAGAAAUCCUCGUCCCCCGAAAGUUGACCGACUCGAUUCGUCUUUAUUCCGUCCCCUUCCUUCCUCUGCCUGUCUGUCUUUCAGAGCCGUUGCGUCUUUGCUGUCUUAAUGUUUUUACAGCUCCGCUCGGGUCCACAAAGUUAUGUGGGGCUAAGUGUUCGUACAGCCAAUGGCGAGAUGAGAUGUAUAAAAGCACUGAGCUAAUAGACGUGAUGUAAGACUCGAUACGUGACUUCUUUGGUAAAGAAGCAGCAUCCUACUGCAAGGACACAGCCUUCUGCUGCGUGUGUGUGUGUGUGUGUGUCAGUUGUGAAACAGCAAUGAAAUCUCAAUGCCAAGUUGUCUUCUGUCUUCGCUACUGCAUCGGAAGAAACAUCGUUGUUGUGUGUGUGUGUGUUUUGGCCUUGCCACCACGUUAACACUUUGUGUCCUGAGCCCCCCCCCCACAACUCCUCCCCUCCCCUCCUUGCUCUGCAGUUGCCA